UACAGAGGUCCCAAGCGUUGUUCGGAUUCACUGGGCGUAAAGGGUGCGUAGGUGGCCAGGUAAGUUUGGUGUGAAAGCUCGGAGCUCAACUCCGAAAAGGCAUUGAAUACUAUCUGGCUGGAGGGUCGGAGGGGAGACUGGAAUUCUCGGUGUAGCAGUGAAAUGCGUAGAUAUCGAGAGGAACACCAGUGGCGAAGGCGAGUCUCUGGACGACACCUGACACUGAGGCACGAAAGCCAGGGGAGCAAACAGG
This 253-nucleotide ribosomal RNA is filed under the name uncultured bacterium. Its description in RNAcentral is "partial 16S ribosomal RNA". It matches the Rfam family "Bacterial small subunit ribosomal RNA", at positions 524 to 776 of the family's 1533-position model. The record is from RNAcentral.